CCUACGGGAGGCAGCAGUAGGGAAUCUUCCACAAUGGGCGCAAGCCUGAAGGAGCAACACCGCGUGAGUGAAGAAGGGUUUCGGCUCGUAAAGCUCUGUUGUUGGAGAAGAACGUGCGUGAGAGUAACUGUUCACGCAGUGACGGUAUCGAACCAGAAAGUCACGGCUAACUACGUGCCAGCAGCCGCGGUAAUACGUAGGUGGCAAGCGUUAUCCGGAUUUAUUGGGCGUAAAGCGAGCGCAGGCGGUUGCUUAGGUCUGAUGUGAAAGCCUUCGGCUUAACCGAAGAAGUGCAUCGGAAACCGGGCAACUUGAGUGCAGAAGAGGACAGUGGAACUCCAUGUGUAGCGGUGGAAUGCGUAGAUAUAUGGAAGAACACCAGUGGCGAAGGCGGCUGUCUGGUCUGCAACUGACGCUGAGGCUCGAAAGCAUGGGUAGCGAACAGGAUUAGAUACCCCAGUAGUC
RNAcentral lists this ribosomal RNA (465 nucleotides) under uncultured bacterium. RNAcentral's name for it is "partial 16S ribosomal RNA". It matches the Rfam family "Bacterial small subunit ribosomal RNA", at positions 338 to 795 of the family's 1533-position model. The record is from RNAcentral.